GUGACUCCCAGGGACUGCCUUAGGAGAAAGUUUCUGGAAUGUCAGAACUUCCAGAAACUUUCUCCUAAGGCAGUCCCUGGAGUCAC
Molecule: microRNA precursor, 86 nt
Organism: Homo sapiens (human)
Lineage: Eukaryota; Metazoa; Chordata; Mammalia; Primates; Hominidae
Rfam family: mir-3199 microRNA precursor family
Source: Rfam